GGCUUGUUGAUUAUAAUUUCAGGUCUGACCUGCCCAAUGAGUAGUUAAAUGGCCGCGGUAUUUUAACCGUGCAAAGGUAGCAUAGUCACUAGUUUUUUAAUUGAAAGCUUGAAUGAAAGGUUUGAUGAAAAAAUUUCUGUCUCUAUUUAAAUUUAUUAGAAUUUUAUUUUUAAGUUAAAAAGCUUAAAUGUUUAUAGAAGACGAGAAGACCCUAUAGAGUUUUAUAUUUAGCUAGUUAGUAUUAUUUAUGAUUUAAAAUGUUUUAUUAAUUAGGGAAAAUAUUUUGUUGGGGUGAUGGAAAAAUUUAAUUAACUUUUUUUUAAUUUAAACAUUAAUUAAUGAGUGUAUGAUCCUAAGUUUAAGAUUACAAGAUUAAAUUACCUUAGGGAUAACAGCGUGAUUUUUUUUAGAGUUCUUAUCGAAAGAAAAGAUUGCGACCUCGAUGUUGGAUUAAAAUUUAUUAUUGGUGGAGAAGCUAAUAAAUUGGGUCUGUUCGACCUUUAAAAUUUUACAUGAUCUGAGUUUAAACCGGUGUGAG
RNAcentral lists this ribosomal RNA (538 nucleotides) under Trigonopterus sp. 766 AR-2022a. RNAcentral describes it as "partial large subunit ribosomal RNA". It matches the Rfam family "Bacterial large subunit ribosomal RNA", at positions 1819 to 2625 of the family's 2925-position model. Lineage: Eukaryota; Metazoa; Arthropoda; Insecta; Coleoptera; Curculionidae. The record is from RNAcentral.